This 505-nucleotide ribosomal RNA is filed under the name uncultured bacterium. RNAcentral describes it as "partial 16S ribosomal RNA". It matches the Rfam family "Bacterial small subunit ribosomal RNA", at positions 28 to 507 of the family's 1533-position model. The record is from RNAcentral.
GACGAACGCUGGCGGCGUGCCUAAUACAUGCAAGUCGAACGCACAGUUUAUACCGUAGCUUGCUACACCAUAGACUGUGAGUUGCGAACGGGUGAGUAACGCGUAGGUAACCUGCCUGGUAGCGGGGGAUAACUAUUGGAAACGAUAGCUAAUACCGCAUAAUAUUCAUUAUUGCAUGAUAAUUAAUUGAAAGGUGCAAUUGCACCACUACCAGAUGGACCUGCGUUGUAUUAGCUAGUAGGUGAGGUAACGGCUCACCUAGGCGACGAUACAUAGCCGAACUGAGAGGGUGAUCGGCCACACUGGGACUGAGACACGGCCCAGACUCCUACGGGAGGCAGCAGUAGGGAAUCUUCGGCAAUGGACGAAAGUCUGACCGAGCAACGCCGCGGGAGUGAAGAAGGUUGUCGGAUCGUAAAGCUCUGUUGUAAGAGAAGAACGGGUGUGAGAGUGGAAAGUUCACACUGUGACGGUAGCUGACCAGAAAGGGACGGCUAACUACGUG